This 253-nucleotide ribosomal RNA is filed under the name uncultured bacterium. Its description in RNAcentral is "partial 16S ribosomal RNA". It matches the Rfam family "Bacterial small subunit ribosomal RNA", at positions 524 to 776 of the family's 1533-position model. The record is from RNAcentral.
UACAGAGGUCCCGAGCGUUGUUCGGAUUCACUGGGCGUAAAGGGUGCGUAGGUGGCUUUGCAAGUCUGAUGUGAAAUCUCCGGGCUUAACCCGGAAAUGGCAUUAGAAACUGUGAGGCUUGAGGCUUGGAGGGGGAACUGGAAUUCUCGGUGUAGCAGUGAAAUGCGUAGAGAUCGAGAGGAACACCAGUGGCGAAGGCGGGUCUCUGGACAGUUCCUGACGCUGAGGCACGAAGGUCAGGGGAGCAAACGGG